CUUGGACGGGGGCGAGACUAACCCAUAGCCCGGCCCCCUAUAGCUAGGCGGUCGGGGACUGGAGACGUUGGACCGGGGGUGGAGGGAUGCUGGUGACGUCUGGGGCAGAUCGUUCCCGCUAGAGGAAAUUAACCAUGCCUGCAUUUUUUUAUUUCCCCUCCCUCAGCGCAAGAAAGAUGGGGCUGAAUUAAAACACUUUUACAUCACAGACGUGCAUCCAAAGGGUUUGCUUGCCCAUUGUAAUUGCAGUGUAACCUUUGCCUGCAAGACAGUUUCCAAGGGGGAAGUGACUGAAGACAUGUCACCUGAAUCAUCCAAGAGACACUGCAAGAGAAAGUUGUUUUGUUUCUAGUGCUGGAACCAAGUAUAUUGAAACAAGCGAAGGAGGAUGGAUUUUCCAAACUAUCUGGACAAUAAAAGUCUGGCUUUUAUAGCCCUUGGAAAGGAAAGAAAAUAUGCUGUGCUAUGUGACUUCAGAUAAAGAGCCUUGAAAGGAUUAAAAAAAAA
This is a long non-coding RNA of Sapajus apella (tufted capuchin), 507 nucleotides long. RefSeq lists it as uncharacterized. The record is from RefSeq and is a predicted model, not a curated record. The transcript is spliced from 2 exons. Lineage: Eukaryota; Metazoa; Chordata; Mammalia; Primates; Cebidae.